UUAUUACAAAUAACGAAUUAUAUUUCAUUUGUAUAACUAAUAGGUAUUCGCCGAAUAAAACAUUACAUACACUUGUCUAUGACAUUCACGUCACAUCAUAACAUCGACUAUUUUUCUAUGGACAAUAUCUGAAAAAUUCAUUACAGCUAAAUUUCCGGACGACCUAACUUUUCCGACCUCUAUUAAAUGUUUAUUCAUGAAAGUCGAAAGAAGUUCUGUGGAACAAAGUAAAUAAAACACCAAAUACAUAAGUCCCACUGAGUCCCACAUCAAACUAUUUUGUUUAUUUGUUGCCUGAUACCUGUGAGUUUUAGUGUUUGUGAGUGUUUCAUAUUUAAGUGUUUAUUAACAGGCAAAGCCCUAAAGUUGCAGUAUAACAAUGUGAACACAAUAAUAUUUAUAGUACACAGAUGAAAACUAAUGUAAUUAAAAGAAUUAAGAUGAGCUUGUAGGCAAAAAUAGCAUCUUUGGAUUCACGAACUGAAGCCAGUGAUGGAAACCAGAACUUUACUGUUGUAGCAUAAUAGUCAUGGCUGAAUCUGUCCAUAGGACAACCUGCACUAUAUGCCAGUAUUUUCAGAAAUGUAUGUUGGACUGAUUCAAGCCCAUUGGUAUUAGCUUUCAAAUAUGGGGACCACACAAUGGUUGCAUAAUUUAGAAUUGGUAAGAUAAAGGGCUCGAUAUAAAUAAAUAAAGGUCUUAUGAUCCUUAAAAUUAGCCGUGUUUCUGCAAAUAAAGCCAAUGAUUGUAUAGGCUAAAUAAAUAUCUUUAGAACUACUGGAGAAUUACCUGAAAAGGUCAACCAUCUGUUAACUGUUGUAUACCCACAUCACCACAAAGGAAUCUGUUCAUCUGUACAUUACUUGUAUCCCUUUAUUCACUGGAAGCAGAAACAAUAAGGAUACACUUCAGAGUAUAUAUUUUUCCGGCUUUCUCCAAACGAAAUUUUCCUUUAGUAGUUCAACCUACAAAAACAGAGUAAUUCCUUACUAAUCGAAAACCUUAAAUGUUCUUGCAGUGGAUAGGCUUUAGAAUACUAAGGAACAUGUCUAAGCCAUGAUGCAACACCAUUACUGUUGUGAAGAGGUUUUUCGAAACGUAUUGUGCCUCCUGUACUAAUAUGAAACUAUGGAAUACUUUGGGUGAGAUUUUAGUUCUUAAUAAUUUAAAAAUCGAACCUUACCUUCAGUUUUCUUGCUAUACUUUGAUUCAAUAAUAUACAUAUCACUUUUCGGGCUACUUUAAUCCACCAAUUAUUGCAAUCGUACAGAACGAAAUUCCGUUACAUUGCAGUUAUAACUGAAUAAUCUGUACAUCAAACAUAAACAUUUAUUUUUGUUGCAAUUAUAAAAAGUUUAGUUAUUUGUACUCGAGUGGCUCCAAUUCAAAAAAAAAUUUUAACGACUGGCGUAUGUUCAGGAUGCUAAAAAAAGAUAAUUCAGGUCGCGGAAGUCAGAAAAUUCUAAAAUGUUUAGAAAAAUUUAUACCUUACUAGUAUUACCGAGUAGUUUUUUGGUCACAGAGGCGGUGGGCUUAGAUUUUCGUUACGUAGUCAAUAUCUUUUAAGGAAAUUUCGCGCUAUAUUGAAAACUUUCUGUUUGCAAGAAAUGGUUUAAAACCGUAUUGAUGAGUUACUACGUGGAAACUAAUAGGGGAGGGGGGUCUUGGCAUAUAAUACGAAUGGUAACCGAGGGGGUAAAAAAUUAUAAAGAAAAUGGGUUGCGUACUAUGGGUACGUUCUCUUAAUAAAUAAAGGAAUUCAGAACUGCUACUGCAGCCUAACGCUCAGAAUACUUUGCAGUGAAUUGGGUUGCCUAAGUCAAGGACGAGCUGUCGCCAACGUUUUAAACGUUUCGUGUAUUUGAAAACAAAUUACUAUGAUAGCAAUGUUACAGUGCGAGUCGAAACUUUUAACCAACUACAUUUUUGGAUAUUAAUAAAAUAAUUUUAUUUUAUUUAGUACAUAAGCGUAUAUGAAAAUAAUUAUGAUUUUAUGACACUUAACACUGUAAAUGUAAAUGUAAAUGAUUUUUUUUACUUUGUUUUGUAUAUUUCUCUAGUAUCGGUAUUUUUACCUUCUGUCCUGUACAUUACAAUUUUUUAUGCGACUUCUGAUAGAGAAAGAUGCUUACAGUUAAAAAUGCGGACAAAAAAACGUUAGCUUUAUUGGGAAAAUUGUGAUGAAAGCAUAAAACUAUAAUAAAGUAAUAAUAUUCAAGGAGAUAGAUACUUCUUAAUCAAAAAUAGAGAAUGAUUAAGAAGAAAAACAAUGUUUCUAUUUUUUUAGUUUGCGUAAAGUGUCAAUCAUAAAAACAAAGCAAUGAAUUUUUUAUUUUCUGUCCAAAGAUUGAGAAAUUUGUAACAGUUAUUUUUGUCGUAGACAUCUUAAUUUGGCAAAUUAUUUCAGCAAAAAGCAUUGAAUUUUUAAAAAAUCCGUCUUCAAAUUUCAUUCCAAUUAUAAGAAAUGAAGUUUAAGUUAUAAAACCUAAUAUCUAAUAGUGGAUAAAAAUAUCUGAUUUAUUUCAAAAGUAUGGAGUUAUAUCAUAACCAAUUUACUAAUUUUCAGUCUUUUUGUUUACCAAAAAAACCACUCGACCGAAUGUUAUGUAAUUCUUUUCGGAUCAUAUUGCCGUUCAUACGCUUCGAUCGGCGCUCAACGAAGUCGAUAUCAUUUUUUAUUCUCGCGAUAUCUAUCAGAAGAAAGUGACUACGCACGCAUACAUACACACACACAGACACACGUAUACUCCUUCGCCAAAUUAUGUUGCGAUGCUAUGCUCACUUUCAAAUUUCAAAAUAUGUUGGAAACCGUGAUUUUUAUGAAUAACUUCCCUAUAUACUGGGAAGUUAAUAAAUUUAUUUAUCCUGUGGUUUGAUAUUAAGUAUCGCAUAUUCUACAUCAAGGUCAUUAAUAAUUCCUACACAGGAAAAUUAAACCGCAGAAACUGUUUAUUAAUAUACUAAAAAAACUUUGAGUACAUUUUUUUAUGAAUAACAAUACGGUACUUCUAUAAUUUAGUUUUUUAAUUCGAUUCGUUUAAUGUUUAAAAAUUCAAUUUAUUGUCCAUUUAGUGGAAUUUUAUUAUAGCACAAGAAUGCGAUAAACCCACAAGUCAACAUUAUCGUGAAAUUAUGUAUGUAUGGAUGUUAUAUUUUUUAAAUAUUUUUGUAUAAUAAUUUACAAUUAGUAUAUUUUUGUUUUGUUGGUAGUGUUCUUUUUUUAACUUCCCAGUAUAUAGGAGUGCGUGUGCGUUUGUCUGUAUGUGUACACGUACAUACGUAGGUAAUAAUUUUUUUCCAAGGUCCAGUCCCACCCCACGGCUUGUUUAACCGUCUAUUUCCUUCUUCAAAGUAUAACAUUUUUGUCAUCAUGUGUAGUUUAGCAUCCCUAAACCAGAUAUAUUGACCAUAACCAAUAGGUAGAGUUUAUUUAACUAAGAAACCUUCUGAUUUGAUUACGUAUAGAUUAAAAUAUGCUAAUUUGCUAGAAAUGAUUAAAUUGUAACCACAGUAAAAUACGUUAUUUUAUGUAUUUAUGAAUGAAUCAGGUUACGGUUAAGC
Agrilus planipennis (emerald ash borer) is the source of this 3561-nucleotide long non-coding RNA. RefSeq lists it as uncharacterized. The record is from RefSeq and is a predicted model, not a curated record. The transcript has 4 exons. NCBI's taxonomy places the organism in Eukaryota, Metazoa, Arthropoda, Insecta, Coleoptera, Buprestidae.